RNAcentral lists this small RNA (592 nucleotides) under Pan troglodytes (chimpanzee). RNAcentral describes it as "retained intron". The record is from RNAcentral. Lineage: Eukaryota; Metazoa; Chordata; Mammalia; Primates; Hominidae.
ACAAGCCCGGUACCACCAGGUACCACAUCACAUAAGAAAAAAGGUUCUAAUGUUUUCUUAACUUAACAGCAAACCAGUCCAGCUACGGGGGCCCAGCCAGCCAGCAGCUGAGUGGGGGUUACGGAGGUGGCUACGGUGGCCAGAGCAGCAUGAGUGGAUACGGUAACCAAGGAGCAGUGAACAGCAGCUACUACAGUAGUGGAAGCCGUGCAUCUAUGGGCGUGAACGGAAUGGGAGGGAUGUCUAGCAUGUCCAGUAUGAGUGGUGGAUGGGGAAUGUAAUUGAUCGAUCCUUAUCACUGACUCUUGGUCAACCUUUUUUUUUUUUUUUUUAAGAAAAAAACUUCAGUUUAACAGUUUCUGCAAUACAAGCUUGUGAUUUAUGCUUACUCUAAGUGGAAAUCAGGAUUGUUAUGAAGACUUAAGGCCCAGUAUUUUUGAAUACAAUACUCAUCUAGGAUGUAACAGUGAAGCUGAGUAAACUAUAACUGUUAAACUUAAGUUCCAGCUUUUCUCAAGUUAGUUAUAGGAUGUACUUAAGCAGUAAGCGUAUUUAGGUAAAAGCAGUUGAAUUAUGUUAAAUGUUGCCCUUU